GAUGAACGCUGGCGGCGUGCCUAAUACAUGCAAGUCGAGCGAACAGACGAGGAGCUUGCUCCUCUGACGUUAGCGGCGGACGGGUGAGUAACACGUGGAUAACCUACCUAUAAGACUGGGAUAACUUCGGGAAACCGGAGCUAAUACCGGAUAAUAUAUUGAACCGCAUGGUUCAAUAGUGAAAGACGGUUUUGCUGUCACUUAUAGAUGGAUCCGCGCCGCAUUAGCUAGUUGGUAAGGUAACGGCUUACCAAGGCAACGAUGCGUAGCCGACCUGAGAGGGUGAUAGGCGACAAUGGAACUGAGACAAGGUCAAGACUCCUACGGGAGGCAGCAGUAGGGAAUCUGCCGCAAUGGGCGAAAGCCUGACGGAGCAACGCCGCGUGAGUGAUGAAGGUCUUCGGAUCGUAAAACUCUGUUAUGAGGGAAGAACAAAUGUGUAAGUAACUAUGCACGUCUUGACGGUACCUAAUCAGAAAGCCACGGCUAACUACGUG
Molecule: ribosomal RNA, 497 nt
Filed under: uncultured bacterium
Lineage: Bacteria
Description: partial 16S ribosomal RNA
Rfam family: Bacterial small subunit ribosomal RNA
Source: RNAcentral